This 254-nucleotide ribosomal RNA is filed under the name uncultured bacterium. RNAcentral's name for it is "partial 16S ribosomal RNA". It matches the Rfam family "Bacterial small subunit ribosomal RNA", at positions 524 to 776 of the family's 1533-position model. The record is from RNAcentral.
UACGAAGGGGGGCUAGCGUUGCUCGGAAUCACUGGGCGUAAAGGGUGCGUAGGCGGGUCUUUAAGUCAGGGGUGAAAGCCCGGAGCUCAACUCCGGAACUGCCAUUGAAACUGUUGGACUUGAGUACGAGAGAGGUGAGUGGAAUUCCCAGUGUAGAGGUGAAAUUCGUAGAUAUUGGGAAGAACACCGGUGGCGAAGGCGGCUCACUGGCUCGUAACUGACGCUCAGGCGCGACAGCGUGGGGAUCAAACAGG